AUUGGACAAUGGGGGCAACCCUGAUCCAGCCAUGCCGCGUGUGUGAAGAAGGUCUUCGGAUUGUAAAGCACUUUAGGUUGGGAGGAAGGGCUUUAGGCUAAUACCUUGCUGUUUUGACGUUACCGACAGAAUAAGCACCGGCUAACUUCGUGCCAGCAGCCGCGGUAAUACGAAGGGUGCAAGCGUUAAUCGGAAUUACUGGGCGUAAAGCGCGCGUAGGUGGUUUGUUAAGUUGGAAGGGAAAGCCCCGGGCUCAACCUGGGAACUGCUUUCAAAACUGGCAAGCUAGAGUAUGGCAGAGGGUGGUGGAAUUUCCUGUGUAGCGGUGAAAUGCGUAGAUAUAGGAAGGAACACCAGUGGCGAAGGCGACUCUCUGGUCUGCAACUGACGCUGAGGCGCGAAAGCGUGGGGAGCGAACA
This 419-nucleotide ribosomal RNA is filed under the name uncultured bacterium. RNAcentral's name for it is "partial 16S ribosomal RNA". It matches the Rfam family "Bacterial small subunit ribosomal RNA", at positions 363 to 774 of the family's 1533-position model. The record is from RNAcentral.